This 253-nucleotide ribosomal RNA is filed under the name uncultured bacterium. Its description in RNAcentral is "partial 16S ribosomal RNA". It matches the Rfam family "Bacterial small subunit ribosomal RNA", at positions 524 to 776 of the family's 1533-position model. The record is from RNAcentral.
UACGUAGGGUGCGAGCGUUGUCCGGAAUUAUUGGGCGUAAAGAGCUCGUAGGCGGCCUGUUGCGUCGGCUGUGAAAACCCGAGGCUCAACCUCGGGCCUGCAGUCGAUACGGGCAGGCUAGAGUUCGGUAGGGGAGACUGGAAUUCCUGGUGUAGCGGUGAAAUGCGCAGAUAUCAGGAGGAACACCGGUGGCGAAGGCGGGUCUCUGGGCCGAAACUGACGCUGAGGAGCGAAAGCGUGGGGAGCGAACAGG